GCUCACCUUAAGGACGCAGAGUGGCGUCAGAUUUGGAGAAGCGCCGGGGACCGUGGAGGAAGUCAUCGGCCUGGAUUUCUUUGGAUUUGCAGAUAGGGUUCCAGCAGAACUGGAAGGUGGGCGAGACAGGCCCUGCGCCACCAUUUGAGCAGCGCUGGGAUAUAAAACCAUCUGCUAGCCCUCUCCUUGCACGUCUGGGGCUGGAAAAAGUAGUUCUGGGACUGGGUACGGUGCUGGAAGGGGUACUAGGCAGGAUGAAACGACGGGGCCCACGACGC
Molecule: long non-coding RNA, 278 nt
Filed under: Homo sapiens (human)
Lineage: Eukaryota; Metazoa; Chordata; Mammalia; Primates; Hominidae
Description: LHRI_LNC2028.1
Source: RNAcentral